Transfer RNA from Thiolapillus brandeum, 74 nucleotides. It matches the Rfam family "tRNA". From Rfam's summary of the family: Transfer RNA (tRNA) molecules are approximately 80 nucleotides in length. Their secondary structure includes four short double-helical elements and three loops (D, anti-codon, and T loops). Further hydrogen bonds mediate the characteristic L-shaped molecular structure. tRNAs have two regions of fundamental functional importance: the anti-codon, which is responsible for specific mRNA codon recognition, and the 3' end, to which the tRNAs corresponding amino acid is attached (by aminoacyl-tRNA synthetases). tRNAs cope with the degeneracy of the genetic code in two manners: having more than one tRNA (with a specific anti-codon) for a particular amino acid; and 'wobble' base-pairing, i.e. permitting non-standard base-pairing at the 3rd anti-codon position. NCBI's taxonomy places the organism in Bacteria, Pseudomonadati, Pseudomonadota, Gammaproteobacteria, Chromatiales, Sedimenticolaceae. The record is from Rfam.
CGGAGUGUAGCUCAGCUUGGUAGAGCACUGCCUUCGGGAGGCAGGGGCCGGAGGUUCGAAUCCUCUCACUCCGA